UACGGAGGGAGCUAGCGUUAUUCGGAAUUACUGGGCGUAAAGCGCACGUAGGCGGCUUUGUAAGUUAGAGGUGAAAGCCUGGAGCUCAACUCCAGAAUUGCCUUUAAGACUGCAUCGCUUGAAUCCAGGAGAGGUGAGUGGAAUUCCGAGUGUAGAGGUGAAAUUCGUAGAUAUUCGGAAGAACACCAGUGGCGAAGGCGGCUCACUGGACUGGUAUUGACGCUGAGGUGCGUAAGCUAGGGUAGCAAACGGG
This 253-nucleotide ribosomal RNA is filed under the name uncultured bacterium. RNAcentral's name for it is "partial 16S ribosomal RNA". It matches the Rfam family "Bacterial small subunit ribosomal RNA", at positions 524 to 776 of the family's 1533-position model. The record is from RNAcentral.